UACAGAGGGGGCAAGCGUUAUUCGGAAUUAUUGGGCGUAAAGGGCGCGUAGGCGGCUUGUUGCGUCGACCGUGAAAACCCACAGCUCAACUGUGGGCUUGCGGUUGAUACGGGCGGGCUGGAGUUCGGUAGGGGAGACUGGAAUUCCUGGUGUAGCGGUGAAAUGCGCAGAUAUCAGGAAGAACACCUAUGGCGAAGGCAGCUCUCUGGGACGGUACUGACGCUGAGACGCGAAGGCGUGGGGAGCGAACAGG
RNAcentral lists this ribosomal RNA (253 nucleotides) under uncultured bacterium. Its description in RNAcentral is "partial 16S ribosomal RNA". It matches the Rfam family "Bacterial small subunit ribosomal RNA", at positions 524 to 776 of the family's 1533-position model. The record is from RNAcentral.